Molecule: ribosomal RNA, 428 nt
Filed under: uncultured bacterium
Lineage: Bacteria
Description: partial 16S ribosomal RNA
Rfam family: Bacterial small subunit ribosomal RNA
Source: RNAcentral
GUAGGGAAUAUUGCGCAAUGGACGAAAGUCUGACGCAGCGACGCCGCGUGAGUGAUGAAGGCCUUAGGGUCGUAAAGCUCUGUUGAAUGGGAAGAAAAAAAUGACGGUACCAUUCGAGGAAGGACCGGCUAACUUCGUGCCAGCAGCCGCGGUAAUACGAGGGGUCCUAGCGUUGUUCGGAAUCAUUGGGCGUAAAGGGUGUGUAGGUGGCCAUGUAAGUCAGGUGUGAAAGCCCCGGGCUCAACCCGGGAAGUGCACUUGAUACGGCGUGGCUUGAGUACCGAAGAGGGUAGUGGAAUUCCAGGUGUAGUGGUGAAAUACGUAGAUAUCUGGAGGAACACCGGUGGCGAAGGCGGCUACCUGGUCGAGUACUGACACUGAGACACGAAAGCAUGGGGAUCAAACAGGAUUAGAAACCCGUGUAGUCC